This 492-nucleotide ribosomal RNA is filed under the name uncultured bacterium. Its description in RNAcentral is "partial 16S ribosomal RNA". It matches the Rfam family "Bacterial small subunit ribosomal RNA", at positions 29 to 507 of the family's 1533-position model. The record is from RNAcentral.
AGUGAACGCUGGCGGUAGGCCUAACACAUGCAAGUCGAACGGCAGCACAGUAAGAGCUUGCUCUUACGGGUGGCGAGUGGCGGACGGGUGAGGAAUACAUCGGAAUCUACUUUUUCGUGGGGGAUAACGUAGGGAAACUUACGCUAAUACCGCAUACGACCUACGGGUGAAAGCAGGGGAUCUUCGGACCUUGCGCGAUUGAAUGAGCCGAUGUCGGAUUAGCUAGUUGGCGGGGUAAAGGCCCACCAAGGCGACGAUCCGUAGCUGGUCUGAGAGGAUGAUCAGCCACACUGGAACUGAGACACGGUCCAGACUCCUACGGGAGGCAGCAGUGGGGAAUAUUGGACAAUGGGCGCAAGCCUGAUCCAGCCAUACCGCGUGGGUGAAGAAGGCCUUCGGGUUGUAAAGCCCCUUUGUUGGGAAAGAAAAGCAGCAGGUUAAUACCCCGCUGUUCUGACGGUACCCAAAGAAUAAGCACCGGCUAACUUCAUG